GGGGAAUAUUGCGCAAUGGGGGGAACCCUUGCGGAGCAAUACCGGGUGGGUGAAGAAGGUUUUCGGAACGGAAAGCCCUGUUAAUGGGGAAGAAAAAAAAGCGGUACCCCAGAAGAAAGUCCCGGGCAAAUACGGUCCAGCAGCCGCGGUAAUACGUAGGGGACAAGCGUUGUCCGGAUUUACUGGGCGUAAAGGGCACGCAGGCGGUUUUUUAAGUCAGAUGUGAAAGGUACCGGCUCAACCGGUGACAUGCAUUUGAAACUGAAAGACUUGAGUAUUGGAGAGGCAAGUGGAAUUCCUAGUGUAGCGGUGAAAUGCGUAGAUAUUAGGAGGAACACCGGUGGCGAAGGCGGCUUGCUGGACAAAUACUGACGCUGAGGUGCGAAAGCGUGGGGAGCAAACA
RNAcentral lists this ribosomal RNA (403 nucleotides) under uncultured Acetobacterium sp. RNAcentral describes it as "bacterial SSU rRNA". It matches the Rfam family "Bacterial small subunit ribosomal RNA", at positions 356 to 774 of the family's 1533-position model. Lineage: Bacteria; Bacillati; Bacillota; Clostridia; Eubacteriales; Eubacteriaceae. The record is from RNAcentral.